UCCUCUUUGACCAGCGGUAGAGCGAUUGACUGUUAAUCAAUUGGUCCCUGGUUCGAUCCCAGGAAGGGGAG
Molecule: transfer RNA, 71 nt
Filed under: Caudoviricetes sp.
Lineage: Duplodnaviria; Heunggongvirae; Uroviricota; Caudoviricetes
Description: tRNA-Asn
Rfam family: tRNA
About the family: Transfer RNA (tRNA) molecules are approximately 80 nucleotides in length. Their secondary structure includes four short double-helical elements and three loops (D, anti-codon, and T loops). Further hydrogen bonds mediate the characteristic L-shaped molecular structure. tRNAs have two regions of fundamental functional importance: the anti-codon, which is responsible for specific mRNA codon recognition, and the 3' end, to which the tRNAs corresponding amino acid is attached (by aminoacyl-tRNA synthetases). tRNAs cope with the degeneracy of the genetic code in two manners: having more than one tRNA (with a specific anti-codon) for a particular amino acid; and 'wobble' base-pairing, i.e. permitting non-standard base-pairing at the 3rd anti-codon position.
Source: RNAcentral